Molecule: long non-coding RNA, 1811 nt
Filed under: Trifolium pratense (red clover)
Lineage: Eukaryota; Viridiplantae; Streptophyta; Magnoliopsida; Fabales; Fabaceae
Description: long non-coding RNA (TPRA_LNC014426)
Source: RNAcentral
CACCAUAUUACUACAAAUCUCCUCCUCCUCCAUCACCCAUUCCCCAUACUCCAUACUACUACAAGUCCCCACCGCCACCCAAGGUCCUACCACCACCAUACUAUUAUAACUCUCCUCCUCCACCUGUUGCAUAUCCUCACCCACAUCCCUACCACCACGCAUUGAUUGUGAAGGUAGUUGGUAAAGUCUACAGCUUCAGGUGUUAUGAUUGGGAGUAUCCUGAAAAGUCUCAUAACAAGAAACAUCUUAAAGGUACAUUACAUUACUAAGGAUUAGACUUAUUUAGAGUAACAAGUUUACAGAUAAAACAUUAUUCUUAACUGUUUAUCAGUUACACUUUUAUUUACUUUAAAUUUAUUUUUAAAACGAACACAAUUUUAGAAUAGUUUAAAUCAUCAAUAUUUCGAUAGAGAAAUAUACAAUUCUCUGUUUUACUUUAUAAUAUUUCGAUAAAUGAACACAAUUUAUAUAUGCAUAGCAUUCAAACUUAAUUUCUAAACAAAAUACAAAACAUAGGUCACUUAAAACUGUCUGCAGCCUAUCAUGAAUAAAAAACAAUCAAUAUGUCAAAUAUAUAGAUAUAUAUUCUACUCGCCAUUACAAUUUAAUAAUCCUAUCUCAUAUUAAUAUUCUUUUUGACAAGGAUUGUUUAAAAUGUUGCUCUUUUAAUAAUACUGUCCAAUAUAAUAUGUGUGCUUCAUAUUUUACUUUCUCGUUAACUAAUUUUAUUUUGGGGCAGGUGCUGUUGUUGAGAUAACUUGCAAAGCUGGAAGCAAAAUCAUCAAGGCUUAUGGUAAGACUAAGAUCAAUGGAAAGUACAGCAUAACAGUUGAGGACUUUGACUAUGUCAAAUAUGGUGCCACAGUGUGCAAGGCCGCCCUUUAUGCUCCACCUAAAGGAUCCCCCUUCAACAUACCUACUAAGCUAAACGCGGGAACAAAAUUGUACUUGAAAUCCAAAGACAAAUAUGAGGUUGUGCUUAAGGCAAAGCCAUUUGCUUAUGCUUCAAAGAAACAUUUUAAAGAAUGUGAGAAGCACAAGCCUUCACCAACUCCAUACUACUACAAAUCACCUCCACCUCCCUCACCGGUUUACAAGUACAAAUCGCCACCUCCACCGGUCCAUUACUAUUCACCUCCAUAUUACUACAAGUCACCUCCACCUCCCUCACCAGUUUACAAGUACAAUUCCCCACCUCCACCAGUCCACCAUUAUGAUCCUCCAUAUUACUACAAGUCACCUCCACCUCCCUCACCAGUUUACAAGUACAACUCCCCACCUCCACCAGUCCACCAUUACGAUCCUCCAUAUUACUACAAGUCACCUCCACCUCCCUCACCGGUUUACAAGUACAACUCCCCACCUCCACCAGUCCAUUAUUAUUCACCUCCAUAUUACUACAAAUCACCCCCUACUCCUGUGAAAUCGCCACCACCUCCAUACUACUAUAAAUCACCGCCUCCUCCCUCACCAGUUUAUAAGUAUAGCUCACCACCUCCACCAGUCCACCAUUAUGAUCCUCCAUAUAACUACAAGUCACCUCCACCGCCUUCACCUGUUUACAAGUACAACUCCCCACCUCCACCAGUCCAUUAUUAUUCACCUCCAUAUUACUACAAAUCACCCCCUCCUCCUGUGAAAUCGCCACCACCUCCUUACUACUAUAAAUCACCUCCUCCUCCCUCACCGGUUUACAAAUACAACUCACCACCUCCACCGGUUUACAAGUACAACUCACCACCUCCGCCAGUCCAUUAUUACUCUCCUCCAUAUUACUAUAAGUCACCUCCACCUCCUUCACCGGUUUACAA